This 1437-nucleotide ribosomal RNA is filed under the name uncultured organism. RNAcentral's name for it is "16S ribosomal RNA". It matches the Rfam family "Bacterial small subunit ribosomal RNA". The record is from RNAcentral.
CAGGCUUAACACAUGCAAGUCGAGGGGCAGCAUUUUAGUUUGCUUGCAAACUGAAGAUGGCGACCGGCGCACGGGUGAGUAACACGUAUCCAACCUGCCGAUAACUCCGGAAUAGCCUUUCGAAAGAAAGAUUAAUACCGGAUAGCAUACGAAUAUCGCAUGAUAUUUUUAUUAAAGAAUUUCGGUUAUCGAUGGGGAUGCGUUCCAUUAGUUUGUUGGCGGGGUAACGGCCCACCAAGACUACGAUGGAUAGGGGUUCUGAGAGGAAGGUCCCCCACAUUGGAACUGAGACACGGUCCAAACUCCUACGGGAGGCAGCAGUGAGGAAUAUUGGUCAAUGGGCGAGAGCCUGAACCAGCCAAGUAGCGUGAAGGAUGAAGGCUCUAUGGGUCGUAAACUUCUUUUAUAUGGGAAUAAAGUUUUCCACGUGUGGAAUUUUGUAUGUACCAUAUGAAUAAGGAUCGGCUAACUCCGUGCCAGCAGCCGCGGUAAUACGGAGGAUCCGAGCGUUAUCCGGAUUUAUUGGGUUUAAAGGGAGCGUAGGUGGAUUGUUAAGUCAGUUGUGAAAGUUUGCGGCUCAACCGUAAAAUUGCAGUUGAAACUGGCAGUCUUGAGUACAGUAGAGGUGGGCGGAAUUCGUGGUGUAGCGGUGAAAUGCUUAGAUAUCACGAAGAACUCCGAUUGCGAAGGCAGCUCACUAGACUGUCACUGACACUGAUGCUCGAAAGUGUGGGUAUCAAACAGGAUUAGAUACCCUGGUAGUCCACACAGUAAACGAUGAAUACUCGCUGUUUGCGAUAUACAGUAAGCGGCCAAGCGAAAGCAUUAAGUAUUCCACCUGGGGAGUACGCCGGCAACGGUGAAACUCAAAGGAAUUGACGGGGGCCCGCACAAGCGGAAGAACAUGUGGUUUAAUUCGAUGAUACGCGAGGAACCUUACCCGGGCUUAAAUUGCAACAGAAUAUAUUGGAAACAGUAUAGCCGUAAGGCUGUUGUGAAGGUGCUGCAUGGUUGUCGUCAGCUCGUGCCGUGAGGUGUCGGCUUAAGUGCCAUAACGAGCGCAACCCUUAUCUUUAGUUACUAACAGGUUAUGCUGAGGACUCUAGAGAGACUGCCGUCGUAAGAUGUGAGGAAGGUGGGGAUGACGUCAAAUCAGCACGGCCCUUACGUCCGGGGCUACACACGUGUUACAAUGGGGGGUACAGAAGGCGGCUACCUGGUGACAGGAUGCUAAUCCCAAAAACCUCUCUCAGUUCGGAUCGAAGUCUGCAACCCGACUUCGUGAAGCUGGAUUCGCUAGUAAUCGCGCAUCAGCCAUGGCGCGGUGAAUACGUUCCCGGGCCUUGUACACACCGCCCGUCAAGCCAUGAAAGCCGGGGGUACCUGAAGUACGUAACCGCAAGGAGCGUCCUAGGGUAAAACUGGUAAUUGGGGCUA